UCAUGAGCCAGUCUCCACAUUCUCAAGUAUACUAUAGUGACCUCAUCAUUGCCUAUGGAUUCAAUCUUUAUGGAUCAUCUUUAUGGCACUAGUGGAAAUUAAUAUGUGAGAAAUAUAGAAUAAUGACACAAGGAAUGGUUACUGAGUUUAAGUUAAACAGAGUCUCUGAGGAUCUGAUCACUAUGUAGUUAAUAGCUCAGAUGCCCAGUCUGGUCUCUUUACUUGAACAACUAACUCUUCCAUGUAUCUGAAGAAAGACAAGAUUGAUACAAAUCUACUUCAUUGCAGAUCCCUUGUGGAUGGGUUCCAUAGAACAAUGGUCUUUGAGAUGAAGUCUUUAAAACUCCUGGAGGAUUCCCUACAAUUUUCUCUAAGCCAUCUGUGUGGGUGUGUGGAAAUGUGGAAGGAAAGAAGGAACGAAGGAAGAAAAAAAGGGAAGGGGUAUGUGAAGAAGGAAAUAAUGAAGGAGGAAGAAACAACAACAAAUAGAAAAAUAUUGCCAGAUGUCAACACCAUGAUCAUGAUGAAGACAAUGCCACUAGAAGGCCAACAUUCUUAACUGGUAAAAUCAUAACAGUUAACAUUAUAUAGCACUUCAAGGUUUACAUGAAAGAAAAAAAGAAUGUUGCAUAAAUUUUUGGAGAUUUAGUUACUCCACU
Molecule: long non-coding RNA, 659 nt
Filed under: Monodelphis domestica (gray short-tailed opossum)
Lineage: Eukaryota; Metazoa; Chordata; Mammalia; Didelphimorphia; Didelphidae
Description: lncRNA (ENSMODG00000033045.2)
Source: RNAcentral